Molecule: long non-coding RNA, 792 nt
Organism: Gossypium arboreum
Lineage: Eukaryota; Viridiplantae; Streptophyta; Magnoliopsida; Malvales; Malvaceae
Exons: 2
Source: RefSeq, a predicted model, not a curated record
AAUUUUGUAUUAAAAAAUCAGACCACAAUUUGAUAAAAUUAGACUUGGAUAAAUUGGGUUUGGAUCUCAGGCCCAUUUGAUGGUCCUUUUUAAUAGGAAAAGAAGCUUCAUCAGCACUCAUUUCCCCCUUCACCAGCCAGCACCAGCCUCCACAGCUCUUCUUCUUCCACCUUUCCAUUUUCUCUUAAAAGUUUCACCUCCCACCUUUAGAUACUGUUUUCCAUGGAAACAACCUUCUAAGCUCAUGUAUUCCAUCACUUUAAUUAAUUUUAGUCUAAGGUUUAUAGAGUUUUAGUGAAAAAAGUUGAAGUCAAAGUGAGAAAGCUUUAAGAAGAGGGUGAGUACCGUAUCUUGACGGCACGUGUCCAUGGUCCAAGCUACCAGUCGGAUGAACUUAUUUUUCCAUAUUUGGAUGUCGUUGGAUUUGGAACAAUGGCAUUGAUUAGGAUGUUUGAGUUGAGGGUCGAUUUAAUAUCCGCCUUGGUUGAGAGGUGGCGCCCACCCGCACAAUUCGUUUGUCGUAUGGGGAGUGUACAAUCACUUUUGAAGAUGUCGCAUUGCAACCCAGGCUCCCAAUUGAUGAUGAUGUGAUCACGUAUUCAAUUAAAGUGUUUGACUGUGUCGUUUAUAGUAAAAUAUAACACCAAAAAUAUGUAUGAAUUUAGAACGGCGGUGUUUGUAAGUGCACGAGUUAAAUUGUAAUAUAGUUAGUACAACGAAAUACCUAAAAGUAUUCCGAGGAUCAUACCCAUGGGGGAUAGAACAAAUUAUGAAAGUUUUUUACAGUAAUAA